This 1983-nucleotide long non-coding RNA is filed under the name Homo sapiens (human). Lineage: Eukaryota; Metazoa; Chordata; Mammalia; Primates; Hominidae. The record is from RNAcentral.
CUCCGGGGGCGGGCUGCAAUAAAACAGCAAAAUCCUCCAUUCCCCAUCAGCGGUCGAUUGGGGGCUCUUUCGAAGCGGCAGCUCUGUAGGACCGCUCUUCUACCCCAAGAUCCCUCGGCUUCGGCCCCCUAGGUGCCAGGGUCUGCGGGACCCCACGCUCAAAGCCGCCGGCCGGGGUCGACAACUGCAGAGAGGGUCGGGAUAGGAAAUUGCGGGUAGCGGCAGAUGCGGGUCCCCAGGCAUCCCGGAGGUUCCCACAGGUCUGCAGUGGGCCUACUUUGCGAAAAGGGCCCGGCUGCGCCGAGCCUCGUUCAAAUCAGAUGCCAGACAGUGUUUCUUGGGAUCCAUCCAAAUAGGUCCCUUAUUUCUCUUUGUGGGAGCCCUGGGCCUCCUUCCAGGCCGGAACCCAAGUGCUUAGGCAGCCGGGAAAGGCCGGUCCCCUUUUUCAGUUCUCUCGCGACCUCUAGCCACUUCCGGUUGCUAACGGUUCCCAAACAGCCCCCGAAAACGCUACGUGAGCUGGGCCCUGGGCCAGAGGCAGAAAACGGACGGAAGAAAAGGUCUGGCCGGAGAUGGGUCUCACUCUGUCACCCAGACUGGAGUGCAGUGAGUGGUGCGAUCAUAGCUUACUGCAGCCUGAAACUCCUGGGCUCAAGUGAUCUUCUCGCCUCAGCCUCCUGAGUAGCUGGAGCUACAGGUGUGAGCUACCCAGCAUGGCUCAUUUGAGAUUUCUGAGUAGAGAAGUAACAUGAUUAAACUUGGGUAUUGAGAUUAUUAUUUUGGCUGCUAUGUUAACAGUAGACUUGAAUGUGAAGGGGUUGGGCAAGGGCAGAAGCAGGGAGACAGGUUGGAAAGUUGGAGUGGGAAGGGCCUUUUUAAGAAUAACACAAACCCCUAAAGACAUAAAACUGAAAAGGCCAUGGAGGAAAAGAUAAAUGAAACUGGCCUUGUAAAAUUGAAAUAUUUGAAUGAAAAAAGUAAAAAUAAAAUAUAAACUAAAAGUAAAAUAUGCCACACAUCUAAAAGACACAGCUGAUUUUCCUGAUAUACAAAGACCUUUUAUCUUACCAAAAAAUAAAAAUAUGAACAAGCCAAUAGAAAAAUAGACAAAGUACUUAACCUGCAUGCAUUUAUUGUCAGGCCUCUGACAAUAUGAUACUAAGCCAUCAUAGCCCCUGUGACCGCCACGUAUACAUCCAGAUGACCUGGAGCAACUGAAGAACCACAAAAGAUGGCAUUCCACCAUUGAGAUUUGUUCCUGCCCCACCCCAACUAAUCAAUCGACCUUGUGACAUUCCCCCUGCCCCCGACAGUGAGUCUCAUGAUCUCCCCACCCAGCACCUUGGCACCUUGUGACCCCCGCCCCUGCCCACAAGAGAUAACCACCUUUAACUGUAAUUUUCCACUACCUACCCAAAUCCUAUAAAACUGCCCCACCCCUAUCUCCCUUUGCUGACUCUCUUUUUGGACUCAGCCCACUUGCACCCAAGUGAAAUAAACAGCCUUGUUGCUCACACAAAGCCUGUUGGUGGACUCUCUUCACACAGACUCACUUGACAUUUAUAGAACACAAAAUUAAGAAUAGUGAAUAUGAAAAGGUUCACUAAUAAGAAUUUAAACAAAACAAGAAAGAUUUUUAAGAUUGCUAAAGACAAACGAUUUAUAAUAUUCAGUGUUAGGAGGUGUGUGGAUAUACAGGCAUACUUAGUUUUACAUUUUUAGAAGGUAAGACUUAUUUAGAAGGUAAGAAGUUGUCCAUACCCCUUGAUUCAACAACUUAGCUUCUUGGAAUUAUCCAUAUAGAAAUGCUUACAUAAAUGUUUGAACGUAUGUACAAAGAAGCACUAUUUAUUUAAAUUGGGAAACUUGAAUGCCUAACAUUUGGAAUUUAAAUUUUUAUAUGUCUAUUCAUUAAAAUACCACCCAGUUUUUAGAAACUAAGAGAUGCUAAAGGUAUAUUGAGUAAAAUAAAAAGUUACAAAA